Molecule: RNase P RNA, 363 nt
Filed under: Lachnospiraceae bacterium YSD2013
Lineage: Bacteria; Bacillati; Bacillota; Clostridia; Lachnospirales; Lachnospiraceae
Description: Bacterial RNase P class A
Rfam family: Bacterial RNase P class A
About the family: Ribonuclease P (RNase P) is a ubiquitous endoribonuclease, found in archaea, bacteria and eukarya as well as chloroplasts and mitochondria.
Source: Rfam by way of RNAcentral
UGAGUAGGACAGGUGAUCGCGGCUGCUUUUAAGCAGGUGAGGAAAGUCCGGGCUUCAUAGGGCAGGAUGCCGGAUAACGUCCGGUGGAGGUGACUCCCAGGCCAGUGCAACAGAAAUAAACCGCCUUUUGCGGGAUUCCGCAAGAGGUAAGGGUGGAAAGGCAGUGUAAGAGACUACCGUGCUUGUGGUAACACAAGUAGCCAUGUAAACCCCAUCCGAAGCAAGACCAAGAAUGCCUUUUGGCAGGAAAACCAUAGAUUUGCCCGAUCUGUUUUCCGGUAGGUCGCUUGAGCUCGUCGGUAACGACGUUCCUAGAAAGAUGAUCAUCCACGACAUAACCCGGCUUAUCGUCUUACUCACAUU